AACUUGUUCCCGUAAAGAGUGGCUACCGGCUGCCGCCGCCCCGCCGCUCGGGCGGGAGGGCUGCGGGGCUCGGGAGGGCUGCGGGGCUCGGGAGGGCUGCGGGGGCGGCUCGGGGCUCAGGGAGGGCUGCGGGGCCGGCUCGGGGCUCAGGGCUGCGGGAGGGCUCUGGGGCUCGGGGUUGUGGGGCCGGCUCGGGGCUGCGGGAGGGCUGCGGGGCCGGCUCGGGGCUCAGGGAGCGCUGCGGGGCUCAGGGCUUCUGGAGGGCCAGCUCGGGGCUCGGGGCUGCGGGAGGGCUCCGGGGCUCCGGGGCUCGGCUCCCUCGCUGGGGGCCGCUCGCUGCCCGUGCCCGGCGGGGCUGGCCGGUGCCCCCCCGCUCCUUCCCCGGGUAGCGAUCAGCCCGGCGGCUCCGCCUGAGGAGGGGGCACGGAGAGCCCCGAGCAGGGCAGGGAUCCCUCAGGAGCGGGUGGCCGUGUCUGGCCGGGCACGAGAAGCGCCGCCGGGUCAGCCUUUGCCGUGCGCAGCUCUGGCCUUGGGGGUGUUUGCCGCAGACGCCGUGCGCAAAGACAAAGUUUGGCACAAACACCUGUCUGGAGGUGUGAGGAAAAAUGCACUAUGCCAAGUCCUUUUCAGUUCUUUCACACAGAAAGCUCUUGCUGGCACACAGGGAGCAGAUGAUUGUUCCUCGAGUGCUUGGACUGGACUGGGACCACUCCAGAGCUGAGGAAUAAUUUCAUUUUUCCAGAAGGAGGCGGGAAAACCAUGGACUUCCACGUAAGAAUGGUUGGAGAGAAACUUGGAAGUCGUGCAGCUUGUUAAUGAUUUAUUCUGACCGGCAUUUGCCCUCUCAGUGUCCCGAAGCUCGGCGCUCCCCGUGUGGGGGACGAGCGGGGCCUGGCGCGCGGCGCCGCAGUGACACAUGCGCGACGCGGGCAGUGGCUCGCGCCUGACACCCGGUGGCGCGCAGCAGUACGGCAGUGGAACAGCGCGCAUGCGCGUUUGCCAGCGGAGGCUCUUUGGACGUGGGAAUUCAGGGCAAAAAGGAAACCCCCGUGAGCAUGCGUGGUGCUGUGGAAUGGGAGGCGCAUGCACAGUGACGUGCCCGGCGCGGAGCCGGGGCCGCCCGGCAGAGCUUUUCCUGGGACGCAAACCCUAGGGUUUUCCUGGGAAAUAAAACCUGGCUUUUUCCUGGGACA
Molecule: long non-coding RNA, 1193 nt
Filed under: Junco hyemalis (dark-eyed junco)
Lineage: Eukaryota; Metazoa; Chordata; Aves; Passeriformes; Passerellidae
Description: lncRNA (ENSJHYG00000016070.1)
Source: RNAcentral